CAGUAGCCGCGGUAAUACGAAGGGUGCAAGCGUUAAUCGGAAUUACUGGGCGUAAAGCGUGCGUAGGCGGUGAGUUAAGUCUGCUGUGAAAUCCCCGGGCUCAACCUGGGAAUGGCAGUGGAUACUGGCUCGCUAGAGUGUGUCAGAGGAUGGUGGAAUUCCCGGUGUAGCGGUGAAAUGCGUAGAGAUCGGGAGGAACAUCAGUGGCGAAGGCGGCCAUCUGGGACAACACUGACGCUGAGGCACGAAAGCGUGGGGAGCAAACAGGAUUAGAUCCCCUGUAGUCCCUGUCUCUUAUACA
Molecule: ribosomal RNA, 301 nt
Filed under: uncultured bacterium
Lineage: Bacteria
Description: partial 16S ribosomal RNA
Rfam family: Bacterial small subunit ribosomal RNA
Source: RNAcentral